AAGGUAACCAGUAGAGUUUGAUCCUGGCUCAGUAAGUCGUAACAAGGUAACCAGUAGAGUUUGAUCCUGGCUCAGGAUGAACGCUGGCGGCGUGCUUAACACAUGCAAGUCGAACGGGAUCCAUCAGGCUUUGCUUGGUGGUGAGAGUGGCGAACGGGUGAGUAAUGCGUGACCGACCUGCCCCAUACACCGGAAUAGCUCCUGGAAACGGGUGGUAAUGCCGGAUGCUCCGACUCCUCGCAUGGGGUGUCGGGAAAGAUUUCAUCGGUAUGGGAUGGGGUCGCGUCCUAUCAGGUAGUCGGCGGGGUAACGGCCCACCGAGCCUACGACGGGUAGCCGGCCUGAGAGGGCGACCGGCCACAUUGGGACUGAGAUACGGCCCAGACUCCUACGGGAGGCAGCAGUGGGGAAUAUUGCACAAUGGGCGCAAGCCUGAUGCAGCGACGCCGCGUGCGGGAUGACGGCCUUCGGGUUGUAAACCGCUUUUGAUCGGGAGCAAGCCUUCGGGUGAGUGUACCUUUCGAAUAAGCACCGGCUAACUACGUGCCAGCAGCCGCGGUAAUACGUAGGGUGCAAGCGUUAUCCGGAAUUAUUGGGCGUAAAGGGCUCGUAGGCGGUUCGUCGCGUCCGGUGUGAAAGUCCAUCGCUUAACGGUGGAUCUGCGCCGGGUACGGGCGGGCUGGAGUGCGGUAGGGGAGACUGGAAUUCCCGGUGUAACGGUGGAAUGUGUAGAUAUCGGGAAGAACACCAAUGGCGAAGGCAGGUCUCUGGGCCGUUACUGACGCUGAGGAGCGAAAGCGUGGGGAGCGAACAGGAUUAGAUACCCUGGUAGUCCACGCCGUAAACGGUGGAUGCUGGAUGUGGGGCCCGUUCCACGGGUUCCGUGUCGGAGCUAACGCGUUAAGCAUCCCGCCUGGGGAGUACGGCCGCAAGGCUAAAACUCAAAGAAAUUGACGGGGGCCCGCACAAGCGGCGGAGCAUGCGGAUUAAUUCGAUGCAACGCGAAGAACCUUACCUGGGCUUGACAUGUUCCCGACAGCCGUAGAGAUAUGGCCUCCCUUCGGGGCGGGUUCACAGGUGGUGCAUGGUCGUCGUCAGCUCGUGUCGUGAGAUGUUGGGUUAAGUCCCGCAACGAGCGCAACCCUCGCCCUGUGUUGCCAGCACGUCAUGGUGGGAACUCACGGGGGACCGCCGGGGUCAACUCGGAGGAAGGUGGGGAUGACGUCAGAUCAUCAUGCCCCUUACGUCCAGGGCUUCACGCAUGCUACAAUGGCCGGUACAACGGGAUGCGACACGGCGACGUGGAGCGGAUCCCUGAAAACCGGUCUCAGUUCGGAUUGGAGUCUGCAACCCGACUCCAUGAAGGCGGAGUCGCUAGUAA
RNAcentral lists this ribosomal RNA (1381 nucleotides) under Bifidobacterium pseudocatenulatum. RNAcentral describes it as "bacterial SSU rRNA". It matches the Rfam family "Bacterial small subunit ribosomal RNA", at positions 1 to 1341 of the family's 1533-position model. Lineage: Bacteria; Bacillati; Actinomycetota; Actinomycetes; Bifidobacteriales; Bifidobacteriaceae. The record is from RNAcentral.